RNAcentral lists this long non-coding RNA (524 nucleotides) under Bos taurus (domestic cattle). RNAcentral describes it as "long non-coding RNA NONBTAT022335". The record is from RNAcentral. Lineage: Eukaryota; Metazoa; Chordata; Mammalia; Artiodactyla; Bovidae.
UUCAGCCAUUUUGAUUAAAACGUAGAAAAUGAAUGUAUUUUUGUCAUCACUAUUGUAAAAACUUUUUAAAUUUUUCUUCAUAUGCUCUUAAAUUAUGGAGGGAAUCCUGUAACUCUUCUCUUGACAUCAAAAGAUAGACAUAGAAAAUUUGUUAUGUUCCUAGAAAGGAAUAAAGAAAAGUAUACUUGUCCAUCUUUUAUCCUGGUCUCAUGUUAGUGGGCUGUAGUUCUUUGAUAAGGAAUUAGAAAGUUUGACAAUUUGUUUUGCCAGAUGCUGUUCAGUUCUGCCAUACUUCUCCCUGCUUCUUGAAUAGAAACUUUAAUGUGUCUGUUUUUUAUUUUGCUUUGUGAUGGUAGGUGGGUUAAAAAUCCAAUACUGUGACCAGGAUUGUGUGGGCCAGGUUGUUUGUUAUAAGAAUGCAGUCAGUUUAAGUCUUUGAAUUUGUAGUUUAAAAAAAUGAAGCAAUUUUGAAAACAUCUGCAAGGUGCUGAAUUCACUUAUCUUUAUUGUGUCAUUUCAUGGAG